Molecule: ribosomal RNA, 466 nt
Filed under: uncultured bacterium
Lineage: Bacteria
Description: partial 16S ribosomal RNA
Rfam family: Bacterial small subunit ribosomal RNA
Source: RNAcentral
GACGAACGCUGGCGGUGUGCUUAACACAUGCAAGUCGAACGGUAAGGCCCUUUCGGGGGUACACGAGUGGCGAACGGGUGAGUAACACGUGAGUAACCUGCCCUCAUCUCUGGGAUAACAGUCGGAAACGGUUGCUAAUACUGGAUAUGAGCUUGCAAGGCAUCUUGUGGGUUGGAAAGAUUUUUUUGGUUGGGGAUGGACUCGCGGCCUAUCAGCUUGUUGGUGAGGUAGUGGCUCACCAAGGCUUCGACGGGUAGCCGGCCUGAGAGGGCGACCGGCCACAUUGGGACUGAGAUACGGCCCAAACUCCUACGGGAGGCAGCAGUGGGGAAUAUUGCACAAUGGACGGAAGUCUGAUGCAGCAGCGCCGCGUGCGGGAUGACGGCCUUCGGGUUGUAAACCGCUUUCAAUUGUGACGAAGCUUUUUGUGACGGUAGCAGUAGAAGAAGCACCGGCUAACUACGUG